Molecule: ribosomal RNA, 253 nt
Filed under: uncultured bacterium
Lineage: Bacteria
Description: partial 16S ribosomal RNA
Rfam family: Bacterial small subunit ribosomal RNA
Source: RNAcentral
UACGGGGGGGGCAAGCGUUGUUCGGAAUUACUGGGCGUAAAGGGCUCGUAGGCGGCCAACUAAGUCAGACGUGAAAUCCCCCGGCUUAACCGGGGAACUGCGUCUGAUACUGGAUGGCUUGAGUUUGGGAGAGGGAUGCGGAAUUCCAGGUGUAGCGGUGAAAUGCGUAGAUAUCUGGAGGAACACCGGUGGCGAAGGCGGCAUCCUGGACCAAUACUGACGCUGAGGAGCGAAAGCCAGGGGAGCAAACGGG